This 2451-nucleotide long non-coding RNA is filed under the name Xyrichtys novacula (pearly razorfish). The record is from RNAcentral. Lineage: Eukaryota; Metazoa; Chordata; Actinopteri; Labriformes; Labridae.
UUACCAUUACCUAUAUGGGCAUACAUACACACACACACACACACACACAAACACACACACACACACACACACACACACACACACACACACACACACACACACACACACACACACACAAAGUUAAACUGUUAUUCUAGCUUGUGUCUGUUUUGUCUUGGCUCCCCUAUCUGUUUCUUAUUUUGUUGUCCCUCACCUGUCAUGUUCUGUUUUGCAUCACUUAGUAAAAAAAAAAAAGAAAAACCACAAUGUACUCACUGACUGAAGCUUAUGUAAGUGUGUGUUUGAUGUAAAGUGAUAACCAGGAUUGACAAUAAGUGGGACACAGUGAUAAAAAUAAACUCUUUCUCAGCUGAUAUUCAGUCCUGACAGUCUAAUUACAUCGAAUCAGUGAAGACAAAAAUAACCUCUCUGAUGUGCCCUUGUCAUGAAAAUCACUUUUCUUCUUUGUGUUUUGCACCAGUUACAAAAAAAUAGCUGAACAGACAAACAAAUUGACCAGGCUAAUAAUACCAAACUAAAAUCAAAUGAGAAGAGUUUCAUAUUCUCGUCCUGUACCCAUCAAAAAGCCCAUGACUCAGUCAUAUACGGUACAUCACAAGAAAGUGCUCAGGUUUGAGUGUUAUUUUUAGCAGACCGCCCUGGAUCCUUGAUCCUGAUUGGUUAAAAACUUAUAACAACAGUGCUGAAUUCUAAAAGCAAAAGCAAUGCCAGAGACAACCUAGUUUAAAGAGCUCAGCACAUUUCACCUCUGCCUGUUGACACUGUGGUAUAAGGUAAGUGUCUGUCUAAGGCUGGGAUUAAAAUAAUGAUAAUUCAAAGGGCUCAGAUGGAGAGCAGUCCGAGGAGGACCUCAACCCAUGUCUAAUAGAGGGAAGUGGAGCUGGUGUGAGCAUCUUCAAAUUUCUCAGCAAAGUAAAGCAAUCAAAAACCUAAGCAGUAGUGAUAAACGCAACAGUGUUGUAACUUGUGACAUUUUCUUAAUUUAUUUAAACCAAUACUUAUGCAGGUCAUCUCCCUGAGACAUGGGAUCUUCAUUCGGAGAGAGAGACUUAUCCUAACCUGUCUGUUUGUCUUCCUUAUUCAGGUUUAAAGAUGUGACACUUCUUUUGCGCUGGGAAGGAGAGUGUAAUGAGGACAGAAAUGUAAAUACUAACUUUUUUGCAGCAUUCCAGUAUACAGAAAUAAGUCAUUAUAGUAGGAGAAUGACAUCAUUAGAAAAAAAAAGUAAUAUUGUUUGUAGUAAAUGUUGGAUUUUUGGAAAGGGGACACACAUCACCAAAUUCAAACCCCACCAGUGGUUGUAUAUCAUGACAGCAAACCAGGGGCCUAUUCUACGAAGCAAGUUCGACCUAGCGAGGUAGCUACCUACCUUGCUCAACUUAGCGCGGUAGCCAGCGGUCUCGCUAAAUGGUCUUACAACACUGGUUAUCAACCCCGUAAGUGGAUCCAGCUUUGCUAUGGGCGCGUGCACACAUGUAAGGCGGAGUCCACCGCAUCUGACCAAUCGCGAAAAUGGACCAGUCUGGAGCGUCAGAGCAAGCUGGAGAUUGAAGGGCCGCGUACUUUAUAAACGAGGAGCAGGAGACGAUCAUGAGAAAGUAUGAAGAAUUCAAAUCUAUCAUAAACCGCAAAAGCAACACCAUCGCUGCUGCAAAAGCACGGAAGGAAUGCUGGCAGAAAAUUGCAGACAGUCUUAAUGCGUAAGUAUAGUGCGCAAAAAAUCUUUGAUGCCAUUAUCACCCUGAAAUAGCACAGUUCAACAUGCGCUUUUAACAUGCACCAGACAUGUCUAAUUCAUGACCAAGAAUUCAUUUAUUUGUUCAUUCCUAUCGUGUUUACAUUUUUUGUGUGAUAUGUAGGACGUAUGAGCCUUUCAUAAAGGUGGUCAUCCGGAAAGGUCAGUGGGUCCAUGUGGUCCCUGAAAACUCUCACGCGCCAGAGUGCUCCUCAGACAAUGCGAGCACCAAUAGCUGGGCAGAUAACUGUAAUAAUCGUUCACUUGUGGAUAAAAGCACCAAAAUUGGCACACAUACUCCUUAGAAGUUGCUCUUUUGAUAUUUCCCUCUGGCCAAAUGAAAAUUCAAGAUGGCGGCCAUUUUUCAAGAUGGCCACCAUUGAAAAUACAGUAAUAUUGCAUUUUGCAAUAAAAUCCCAUAGACUUGUCCUAUUUGGAUGAACUUGGUGUCAAAUCAAACAUUUUCCACUAUGCAGAAUCCAAAUUUGGACCCAUGGACUUACUUACUGGCUUUCUUGUACCAUAUUUCAGUCCCGGAAUCCUAAUAUUCUGAUCCUAAUUAGGUCUACAUCAUGUGAGACUCGAGCAAAAUGGUUGGUAGCCUAUAUCUUAGUGUUGUUCGAGGUCUAGUGUGUGCUGUCAGUGUGUGUGUGUGUGUGUGUGUGUGUGUGUGUGUGUGUGGGGGGGGGGGGGUUGCAAGGAGGGCAAGGGUGUGU